Molecule: ribosomal RNA, 485 nt
Filed under: uncultured bacterium
Lineage: Bacteria
Description: partial 16S ribosomal RNA
Rfam family: Bacterial small subunit ribosomal RNA
Source: RNAcentral
GAUGAACGCUAGCGACAGGCUUAACACAUGCAAGUCGAGGGGCAGCACAGGUAGCAAUACCGGGUGGCGACCGGCGCACGGGUGAGUAACGCGUAUGCAACUUACCUAUCAGAGGGGGAUAACCCGGCGAAAGUCGGACUAAUACCGCAUGAAGCAGGGGUCCCGCAUGGGGAUAUUUGCUAAAGAUUCAUCGCUGAUAGAUAGGCAUGCGUUCCAUUAGGCAGUUGGCGGGGUAACGGCCCACCAAACCGACGAUGGAUAGGGGUUCUGAGAGGAAGGUCCCCCACAUUGGUACUGAGACACGGACCAAACUCCUACGGGAGGCAGCAGUGAGGAAUAUUGGUCAAUGGCCGAGAGGCUGAACCAGCCAAGUCGCGUGAGGGAUGAAGGUUCUAUGGAUCGUAAACCUCUUUUAUAAGGGAAUAAAGUGCGGGACGUGUCCCGUUUUGUAGGUACCUUAUGAAUAAGGAUCGGCUAACUCCGUG